Molecule: transfer RNA, 96 nt
Filed under: Thermoleophilaceae bacterium
Lineage: Bacteria; Bacillati; Actinomycetota; Thermoleophilia; Thermoleophilales; Thermoleophilaceae
Description: tRNA-Sec
Rfam family: Selenocysteine transfer RNA
Source: RNAcentral
GGAGCGGCACGGGUCUGGUGGCCCAACCGGUCUUCAAAACCGCGAGGGCGGGGCACUGCUUCGCUUGGAAGGUUCGAUUCCUUCGCCGCUCGUUCG